Molecule: non-coding RNA, 95 nt
Organism: Mycena latifolia
Lineage: Eukaryota; Fungi; Basidiomycota; Agaricomycetes; Agaricales; Mycenaceae
Source: the annotation of a GenBank genome assembly
GCCUUUGUGGAUCACGGUGAUCACCUCGACUAUCUCCCACUGGAACGUGUAGCCAUUUAAGCGAGGAGGUGGAGGUUCGAAUCCUCCCGAAGGCA